CCUACGGGCGGCUGCAGUGGGGAAUAUUGGACAAUGGGGGCAACCCUGAUCCAGCCAUGCCGCGUGUGUGAAGAAGGCCCUCGGGUUGUAAAGCACUUUCAGUGAGGAAGAACGCCUGGUGGUUAAUACCCAUCAGGAAAGACAUCACUCACAGAAGAAGCACCGGCUAACUCCGUGCCAGCAGCCGCGGUAAUACGGAGGGUGCGAGCGUUAAUCGGAAUUACUGGGCGUAAAGCGCGCGUAGGUGGCUUGAUAAGCCGGUUGUGAAAGCCCCGGGCUCAACCUGGGAACGGCAUCCGGAACUGUCAAGCUAGAGUGCAGGAGAGGAAGGUAGAAUUCCCGGUGUAGCGGUGAAAUGCGUAGAGAUCGGGAGGAAUACCAGUGGCGAAGGCGGCCUUCUGGACUGACACUGACACUGAGGUGCGAAAGCGUGGGUAGCAAACAGGAUUAGAUACCCCAGUAGUC
Molecule: ribosomal RNA, 465 nt
Filed under: Vreelandella stevensii
Lineage: Bacteria; Pseudomonadati; Pseudomonadota; Gammaproteobacteria; Oceanospirillales; Halomonadaceae
Description: partial 16S ribosomal RNA
Rfam family: Bacterial small subunit ribosomal RNA
Source: RNAcentral